CAUGACUCUAUUUUUGGGGAAUGUUCCAGAGAGCAAGCAUCCACAGUUUCUGCUGCACCAGAGAACUUAAAUGAAAAGGAAGACCAGACUUGCACUGAGGUGAAGACUGAGAUUGAAACUUGGACUAUUAAAACAAACGCCGGAACAGAAGAUAUCAGACACAGCCCAGCAGAAAAUGCUGAAGGUGAGGCCUCUGCUGAGUCAGAACACCAGACAGCUGGUCCGGAGGUGAUCUAUGAUGAUGUACCCUGUGAUGAUCUGUCUUCCGGAGAAGCUGACUUGAUCUAUGAAGACUUUCAGAAAGAGGAGGGCUUGCAAGGGCUCAAUAAUGGCUCGAGCUCAAGUGAGUUCGAAAGCUAUGACGAUGAGCAGUCCGUUUCUGAGAGGUCUCCAAGUCUCCAAGCCGCAGCAAGGUGCGUGUGUGUGUGUGUGUGUGUGUGUGUGUUAAUUCAAGACUCCCCACGACUGCAAUAAUUACAUCCUGACAGGCAUCUGAUUUAUCUUCCCACACAUUUCCAUAUUCUUCAUAAUGAUAAACUACAAAUGUUCAUAAAAAGAUUUAAACCCUCCAAGGUUGCAGGCUGAUUGACUGGUACGUGGUUCUAUAAUUAAUUUUAGAUGCGGGUUAUACUCUGUGAAGGGUUGCAGUGUGCUUUUCUGCCACUAGAGUGCAGUGUUGGCCAACACUUGCCUAAUCGCUACUAAUGCCAGGCCUAACUGACACAUUUUCCAACUGCUCUGUAUUGCUUCGAAUUUAAAUUCAGUGUGCACGGUGUUAUCUGCCCUUACACGUUCAUGAGGUCACACUGGUAUGGAAAACACUUUGCCCAGGCAGCAGUCCCUCAGAAACCAAUUUCCCAUGGCCAGGCUCACCUUUACUUCCACCGGGCUCCAUAAGAUUCCUUCUGCCAGGCGACUCAUGAUAAGCAAGAAUUAGAUUGGUGAGUCUAAUACCACAGUGAUUUGAGCUCAGUUUAACAGUUAUUCCUCCAGCCUUUUUAGUGAAUGUAUAAUUGGAAAGGAAUGAUUUUCUUUAAAAAAACAAGCCUUUAAUGGGCUUGUUAAGAUUAAAAUGAACUCACAAGAUGAACAAGCAACAGUUGACUUCACUACAGUAUUGAGUUAGUAGGCUUUGGUCUUUUCAACUGCUUCAGAAACCGAUUCAUUAUGAAAAAUAAUUGUAACUGGCAUAUUUAAUGAUUGCAAUGUCUUUUUUUUUUCUGUGGAAAUAGAUUUUAAGUAUUUAUGAGUUUACACUACAGUUCAACAUUUUGGGGACAGUAAGAUAUUUUUGCAAAAAGAAAUUAAUGCUUUUAUUUAGCAAGGAUGCAUUUAAUUAAUCAAAUGUAACAGUGAAGACUUUUACAAAAGGUAUUGUUCUUUUGAAUUUUCUAUUUAGAAUCCUAAAAAAUCGCAACUGUUUUCAACAUGGAUAAGGAAUAUUUUGUGAACUCACAAAUAAUAGAAUGAUUUCGAAAGGAUUCAGUGAUAUCAUAAGGCGUUGAAGGUAGCAUCGAUGCAUCCUUUGAAAACUAAGCAGAUGAGGGCGUAUUAUUCGACAGCAUGUUUCACGAACAUUGGAUGUGGACGAAAUGCCUUCUCACCCCGGUUUAGAGCCUGCGGCUUUGUUUUUAUGAAAAUGCAGAGGUCCUUGUCUGAGAUUUGCGUUAGUGAGGGUGCACAUUCUGUCAAAAACUUAUCUUCUUCUGUCUAUCCCUCCCGGCUUUGACUUAAAAAUUAAGCUAAGUGAUGAUACCCAUAGCUCUCUCCUGAUGUGCAAUGACUGAGAGAACUUUACCCCAGGACCAAACCGAAGCUAACCAUGAAACUGGGGGCAGACGUCAGGUACAACUAUGCACAGAGAAGAAUGGACUUUAG
Carassius auratus (goldfish) is the source of this 1878-nucleotide long non-coding RNA. NCBI's taxonomy places the organism in Eukaryota, Metazoa, Chordata, Actinopteri, Cypriniformes, Cyprinidae. The record is from Ensembl.